UACAGAGGGUGCGAGCGUUGUUCGGAAUUAUUGGGCGUAAAGCGCGUGUAGGCGGUGAUGCAUGUCGGGUGUGAAAGCCCUCAGCUCAACUGAGGAAGUGCGCCCGAAACUGCAUCGCUGGAGUGCCGGAGAGGAAGGCGGAAUUCCCGGUGUAGUGGUGGAAUGCGUAGAUAUCGGGAGGAACACCAGUGGCGAAGGCGGUUGCCUGGAGCUUUGCUGACGCUGAUGCGCGAAAGCGUGGGGAGCGAUCCGG
Molecule: ribosomal RNA, 253 nt
Filed under: uncultured bacterium
Lineage: Bacteria
Description: partial 16S ribosomal RNA
Rfam family: Bacterial small subunit ribosomal RNA
Source: RNAcentral